This 333-nucleotide ribosomal RNA is filed under the name uncultured bacterium. RNAcentral's name for it is "bacterial SSU rRNA". It matches the Rfam family "Bacterial small subunit ribosomal RNA", at positions 568 to 898 of the family's 1533-position model. The record is from RNAcentral.
CCCGUAGGCGGCUUGAUAAGUCGGGUGUGAAAACUCCAGGCUCAACCUGGAGACGCCACCCGAUACUGUCAUGGCUUGAGUCUGGUAGGGAGUGCGGAAUUCCUGGUGUAGCGGUGAAAUGCGCAGAUAUCAGGAGGAACACCGGUGGCGAAGGCGGCACUCUGGGCCAGUACUGACGCUGAUGGGCGAAAGCGUGGGGAGCAAACAGGAUUAGAUACCCUGGUAGUCCACGCCGUAAACGUUGGGCACUAGGUGUGGGGGGUUAUCAACGCCCUCUGUGCCGUAGCUAACGCAUUAAGUGCCCCGCCUGGGGAGUACGGCCGCAAGGCUAAA